Brassica oleracea var. oleracea is the source of this 882-nucleotide long non-coding RNA. RefSeq lists it as uncharacterized. The record is from RefSeq and is a predicted model, not a curated record. The transcript has 5 exons. Lineage: Eukaryota; Viridiplantae; Streptophyta; Magnoliopsida; Brassicales; Brassicaceae.
CAGGCGUGUGAUAGUGUUUGUCACUUCGAUUAUCUUCGGAAGAUCAAAGGAUCUCGACGUAAGAGCGUUCAAUCGAGAUCGAUCUUAUGGCCGACUCACAACCAAAGACAAACCCUGGAGCACAUCUGGCGCCAGCCUCAUUUCAAAACUUUCCCAUCUCUAGUCUUCAGCUCAGUGACGAUGAGAUGAUCAGUGGCAGGAACGGUAAAGAGAUGGAUGAGAGUCAGAGUCCAGAGAGGAUUGAAGAACCUCCAUCUGCAGUCUUUCCGCAAAAGGUUGCACCACAGAGAGAUGGGAAGGAUGGACCAAAGAAGGUUUUGAGAUCAAAACUGUGGGAAAUAUUGGGGAAAGCUUCGCCAGAAAAUAAUGAAGAUGUCAACUCUGAGACCCCAGAAGUGGUUAAGACAAACUCUAAGUCGUGUCAAGACAUAAAGAGUUCUCUUAUCAAGCAUAUAACUUCUGAAAUUUCAACCAGAACUACGUCUUUGUCGCAGAGGAUGGUAGGAGCCAAAGGUAUUCGGAAUAGAUCCAUUUCAACUGGUGCCAUCUUAGGUGGCAAAAGCACAGAAGAUUUUAGAGUUCACCUCCCAAGGGACAAAAGGCCAAGCGUUAGAUAAGAGAUUUCAUAACUUAGGAUAUUAUUCUUUCGGAAGAGAGAGUUCUCCCGAGCCGAAUGAAGUCUCAUAUGGAGCAAUAGAAGACUCACCUGCGUUGGCCCAUUACAAAGGCCUACAAGCAAGAGAAACUUCAAGUGAGAUAUCUAAGCGAGGCUUUGAUGAUGAAAGGUUCCCAAGUUGGUAUCUUAGCGUCAUCAUUCCACCUAGAUUGGUGGUAUAUGUGUACUAUGCUCAGAUUCCCAAUGGCCAACCUGCCAUUUUGGAU